UUUGAUAAAUAUCAUACGAGACUUAUAUAUGAUACGAUUUUGUUAUAUGUUAUUUUCAUAUAAACUUUUGUGCAUACACAUACGACUUCUCGGAACAACAAAAACUAUCCUAUCGAUAUAUUUAUAUUUUGUAAAAAUAUUUGUAUAAUCGAAUUUCUCAAAAACCAAGUCUUUCAAAGACUUAUUACUUGUUAAUCCUUAACGAUGUUAAACGAGCUAACAAGUAUAACUUCUUCGUUUCAUCUAAGUUAGCAACUUAACCGUCGAAUCGUUCGGUCAACGAUUCGGUAGAGCUCGGUGACACGUAGUUAGUUACCGCUUUUGGAUUAGAAACUUAUAAGAUAUUCCGUGUUAGGAAUAUCGUAGAAUGCACGCUAGCGAGUCUCGUCUUGGAAAUGACAUCACGAAGUCGUAUUUAGCUAGCUUUGCACAUGGAAAUUCAGGUUACUUUUCAGAAACCAUGACACGGUUGGAAUAGGAGAACCAUUGGAGAUUCGAGUACUUAGUGGGCGUUCAAUUUCUAAAAGACUUAGCUUAUUUGCUUCCGCUGUG
This 552-nucleotide long non-coding RNA is filed under the name Helianthus annuus (common sunflower). Its description in RNAcentral is "sRNA HanXRQr2_Chr08g0359671". Lineage: Eukaryota; Viridiplantae; Streptophyta; Magnoliopsida; Asterales; Asteraceae. The record is from RNAcentral.